ACUUAGAAAGCUUUUAGAGCAUUGCGUUGAAGGUGCAAAGGAGUUUAUUUACUCUAGGUA
This 60-nucleotide transfer RNA is filed under the name Caprella scaura. Its description in RNAcentral is "tRNA-Phe". Lineage: Eukaryota; Metazoa; Arthropoda; Malacostraca; Amphipoda; Caprellidae. The record is from RNAcentral.